Molecule: ribosomal RNA, 453 nt
Filed under: Triticum aestivum (bread wheat)
Lineage: Eukaryota; Viridiplantae; Streptophyta; Magnoliopsida; Poales; Poaceae
Description: partial small subunit ribosomal RNA
Source: RNAcentral
AUGAAAAGACGUAACUGGGCUGGUAACCUGAAGUGCUCCUUCUGUCUGGGUAGGGAAACCUCUCAACACCUCUUCUUCACCUGCCCAGUUGCGAGGGUAGUUUGGAGGACGGUGGGAUGUGUCUUCGGCACAGAUUUGUGCCUCAAUAACCUGUGGCAGUAUUUUUCCUGGUGCUAUAUCUUCUUACCUGAUGAUUCUAAAUUCUAUACCUUUGGCCUUGCUGCGAUAUGUUGGGCUAUGUGGAAUUGUCGUAAUCGGGCCACAUUUGAAUACAAGAAACUGAGAACCCCUUUUGAUGUGGUUUUCUCUGCUUGUGGUUAUAUGAACUAUUGGGCAGGCCUGAUGGAGGGAGCUGAUCGCGAGGCGAUGGAGCGCGGCACCAAGAUGCUCAAGACCAACGCAGCUUACAUGAUGAGGAUCUGUGCGGCCCCAGCUGGAACGGCGAUGGACUGA